AGUGGUUAGAGCAGGUAGCCUAGUGGUUAGAGCGUUGGACUAGUAACCGGCAGGUAGCCUAGUGGUUAGAGCGUUGGACUAGUAACCAGCAGGUAGCCUAGUGGUUAGAGCGUUGGACUAGUAACCAGCAGGUAGCCUAGUGGUUAGAGCGUUGGACUAGUAACCAGCAGGUAGCCUAGUGGUUAGAGCGUUGGACUAGUAACCAGCAGGUAGCCUAGUGGUUAGAGCGUUGGACUAGUAACCAGCAGGUAGCCUCGUGGUUAGAGCGUUGGACUAGUAACCAGCAGGUAGCCUAGUGGUUAGAGCGUUGGACUAGUAACCAGCAGGUAGCCUAGUGGUUAGAGCGUUGGACUAGUAACCAGCAGGUAGCCUAGUGGUUAGAGCGUUGGACUAGUAACCAGCAGGUAGCCUAGUGGUUAGUGUUGGACUAGUAACCAGCAGGUAGCCUAGUGGUUAGAGCGUUGGACUAGUAACCAGCAGGUAGCCUAGUGGUUAGAGCGUUGGACUAGUAACCAGCAGGUAGCCUAGUGGUUAGAGCGUUGGACUAGUAACCAGCAGGUAGCCUAGUGGUUAGAGCGUUGGACUAGUAACCAGCAGGUAGCCUAGUGGUUAGAGCGUUGGACUAGUAACCAGCAGGUAGCCUAGUGGUUAGAGCGUUGGACUAGUAACCAGCAGGUAGGCUAGUGGUUAGAGCGUUGGACUAGUAACCAGCAGGUAGCCUAGUGGUUAGAGCGUUGGACUAGUAACCAGCAGGUAGCCUAGUGGUUAGAGCGUUGGACUAGUAACCAGCAGAUAGCCUAGUGGUUAGAGUGUUGGACUAGUAAC
This is a long non-coding RNA of Oncorhynchus keta (chum salmon), 825 nucleotides long. RefSeq lists it as uncharacterized. Lineage: Eukaryota; Metazoa; Chordata; Actinopteri; Salmoniformes; Salmonidae. The transcript is spliced from 4 exons. The record is from RefSeq and is a predicted model, not a curated record.